This 436-nucleotide ribosomal RNA is filed under the name uncultured bacterium. RNAcentral describes it as "bacterial SSU rRNA". It matches the Rfam family "Bacterial small subunit ribosomal RNA", at positions 8 to 488 of the family's 1533-position model. The record is from RNAcentral.
AGAGUUUGAUCCUGGCUCAGGACGAACGCUGGCGGCGUGCUUAACACAUGCAAGUCGAACGCUCGUAGCAAUACGGGAGUGGCAGACGGGUGAGUAACGCGUGGGAACAUACCCUCCGGUUCGGAAUAGCUCAGGGAAACUUGGAUUAAUACCGGAUACGGCUGAGAGGCGAAAGAUUUAUCGCCGGAGGAUUGGCCCGCGUUCGAUUAGCUUGUUGGUGAGGUGACGGCUCACCAAGGCGAUGAUCGAUAGCUGGUCUGAGAGGAUGAUCAGCCACAUUGGGACUGAGACACGGCCCAAACUCCUACGGGAGGCAGCAGUGGGGAAUAUUGGACAAUGGGCGCAAGCCUGAUCCAGCCAUGCCGCGUGAGUGAUGACGGCCUUAGGGUUGUAAAGCUCUUUCGCUCGGGACGAUAAUGACGGUACCGAGAUAAGA